RNAcentral lists this ribosomal RNA (532 nucleotides) under uncultured bacterium. Its description in RNAcentral is "bacterial SSU rRNA". It matches the Rfam family "Bacterial small subunit ribosomal RNA", at positions 8 to 524 of the family's 1533-position model. The record is from RNAcentral.
AGAGUUUGAUCCUGGCUCAGGAUGAACGCUGGCUGUGCGCCUAAUACAUGCAUGUUGAACGAAGCUAAAAGUGCUUGCACUUUAAGACUUAGUAGCGAAUGGGUGAGUAACACGUACUUAACCUACCCCCAAGUUUGGGAUAACGUUUGGAAACGAACGCUAAUACCGAAUACGUAUUUUUAUCGCAUGAUAGAAAUAUAAAAGGAGCUUCGGCUUCGCUAGGGGAUGGGAGUGCGCUACAUUAGUUAGUUGGUAGGGUAAUGGCCUACCAAGACUAUGAUGUAUAGCGGGGCCGAGAGGCUGAUCCGCCACACUGGGACUGAGAUACGGCCCAGACUCCUACGGGAGGCAGCAGUAGGGAAUUUUCCACAAUGAACGAAAGUUUGAUGGAGCGACACAGCGUGCAGGAUGAAGGUCUUCGGAUCGUAAACUGCUGUUAUAAGGGAAGAAAAACUUUAGUAGGUAAUGACUAGAACUUGACGGUACCUUAUCAGAAAGCGACGGCUAACUAUGUGCCAGCAGCCGCGGUAAU